This 333-nucleotide unclassified non-coding RNA is filed under the name soil metagenome. RNAcentral describes it as "partial contains 5.8S ribosomal RNA, internal transcribed spacer 2, and large subunit ribosomal RNA". The stretch from base 1 to 119 matches the Rfam family "5.8S ribosomal RNA", at positions 35 to 154 of the family's 154-position model. The record is from RNAcentral.
GAUGAAGAACGUAGCGAAAUGCGAUAAGUAAUGCGAAUUGCAGAAUCCGUGAGUCAUCGAAUCUUUGAACGCACAUUGCGCCCGCCAGUAUUCUGGCGGGCAUGCCUGUUCGAGCGUCAUUUCAACCAUCAAGCCCUGCUUGCGUUGGGGUCCUGCGGCUGCCCGCAGGCCCUGAAAACCAGUGGCGGGCUCGCUAGUCACACCGAGCGCAGUAAUACAUCUCGCUUUGGGCGUGCGGCGGGUUCUUGCCGUUAAACACCCCCUUUUUACCAAGGUUGACCUCGGAUCAGGUAGGAAUACCCGCUGAACUUAAGCAUAUCAAUAAGCGGAGGA